Molecule: ribosomal RNA, 1504 nt
Filed under: human gut metagenome
Description: bacterial LSU rRNA
Rfam family: Bacterial large subunit ribosomal RNA
Source: RNAcentral
GGGUGAAAGGCCAAUCAAACUCGGAAAUAGCUGGUUCUCCGCGAAAACUAUUUAGGUAGUGCGGUGAGCGGACACCUUGAGGGGUAGAGCACUGAAAGAGCUAAGGGGGAGCGAUCCUUACUAAACUUUAUCAAACUCCGAAUACUCAAGAGUGAUACUCACCAGACAGACAUUAGGUGCUAAGGUCUAGUGUCGAGAGGGAAAGAGCCCAGACCGUCAAUUAAGGUCCCAAAAUUAUGGCUAAGUGGUAAAGGAAGUGAAUUGUCCAAAACAGUCAGGAGGUUGGCUUAGAAGCAGCCAUCCUUUAAAGAAAGCGUAAUAGCUCACUGAUCUAAACAAGACGAUUUGCGCCGAAGAUGUAACGGGGCUAAAGCCAUAUACCGAAAUUACGGAUUUACACGUAAGUGUAAGUGGUAGCGGAGCGUUCUGUAGGCCUGCGAAGGUGAACCGUAAGGUUUGCUGGAGGUAUCAGAAGUGAGAAUGCUGACAUGAGUAGCGAAAAGAAGAGUGAGAGACUCUUCCGCUGAAAGUCCAAGGUUUCCUGCGUAAAGCUAAUCUGCGCAGGGUUAGUCGGCCCCUAAGGCGAGGCAGAGAUGCGUAGUCGAUGGGAAUCAGGUUAAUAUUCCUGAACCAACUAGGAAGUGACGGAUUCAGUAAAUUGUAUGUCCUUAUUGGAUUGGAUAUGCAGUGAAUGAGUUCCAGGAAAUAGCCCUAGUAUAGACCGUACCCCAAACCGACACAGGUGGACAGGUAGAGAAUACCAAAGCGCUUGAGAGAACUAUGUUGAAGGAACUAGGCAAAAUACUUGCGUAACUUCGGUAUAAGCAAGCCCCAUUUUAAGGCAACUUAAGGUGGGGGGCACAUACUAGGGGGUAGCGACUGUUUACUAAAAACACAGGACUCUGCUAAAUUGAAAGAUGAAGUAUAGGGUCUGACGCCUGCCCGGUGCUGGAAGGUUAAGGAGAGAUGUGAGAGCAUUGAACUGAAGCCCCAGUAAACGGCGGCCGUAACUAUAACGGUCCUAAGGUAGCGAAAUUCCUUGUCGGGUAAGUUCCGACCUGCACGAAUGGCGUAACGACUUCCCCACUGUCUCCAACAUAGACUCAGCGAAAUUGAAUUCUGAGUUAAGAUGCUCAGUACCCGCGGUUAGACGGAAAGACCCCGUGAACCUUUACUAUAGCUUUGCAGUGGUAUUAGGUGACAAAUGUGUAGGAUAGGUGGGAUGCUAUGAAGUUAUGACGCCAGUUGUAAUGGAGCAGACGUUGAAAUACCACCCUUUUGUUAUUUGAUAUCUAACCUGCUUCCCUGAACGGGAAGAGGGACACUGCCUGGCGGGUAGUUUGACUGGGGCGGUUGCCUCCCAAAGAGUAACGGAGGCGCGCAAAGGUUGGCUCAGACUGGUCGGAAAUCAGUCGUCGAGUGCAAUGGCAUAAGCCAGCCUGACUGCGAGAGAGACAUUUCGAGCAGAGACGAAAGUCGGUCAUAGUGAUCCGGUGGUCCCGAG